GAUGAACGCUGGCGGCGUGCUUAACACAUGCAAGUCGAACGGAAAGGCCCUGCUUUUGUGGGGUGCUCGAGUGGCGAACGGGUGAGUAACACGUGAGUAACCUGCCCUUGACUUUGGGAUAACUUCAGGAAACUGGGGCUAAUACCGGAUAGGAGCUCCUGCUGCAUGGUGGGGGUUGGAAAGUUUCGGCGGUUGGGGAUGGACUCGCGGCUUAUCAGCUUGUUGGUGGGGUAGUGGCUUACCAAGGCUUUGACGGGUAGCCGGCCUGAGAGGGUGACCGGGGACAGUGGGAAUGAGAGAAGGCCGAGACGCCUACGGGAGGCAGCAGUGGGGAAGAGGGCAAAAUGGGUGGAAGCGUGAUGCAGCAACGGCGCGGGCGGGAUGAGGGCCGUCGGGUUGUAAACCGCUUUCGCCGGUGACGAAGCGGGAGGGACGGUAAGGGGUAAAGAAGCACCGGCUAACUACGUG
This 468-nucleotide ribosomal RNA is filed under the name uncultured bacterium. RNAcentral's name for it is "partial 16S ribosomal RNA". It matches the Rfam family "Bacterial small subunit ribosomal RNA", at positions 28 to 507 of the family's 1533-position model. The record is from RNAcentral.